Molecule: ribosomal RNA, 617 nt
Filed under: Mucor racemosus
Lineage: Eukaryota; Fungi; Mucoromycota; Mucoromycetes; Mucorales; Mucoraceae
Description: partial 18S ribosomal RNA
Rfam family: 5.8S ribosomal RNA (bases 242-394)
Source: RNAcentral
CUUCCGUAGGUGAACCUGCGGAAGGAUCAUUAAAUAAUCAAUAAUCUUGGCUUGUCCAUUAUUAUCUAUUUACUGUGAACUGUAUUAUUAUUUGACAUUUGAGGGAUGUUCCAAUGUUAUAAGGAUAGACAUUGGAAAUGUUAACCGAGUCAUAAUCAGGUUUAGGCCUGGUAUCCUAUUAUUAUUUACCAAAUGAAUUCAGAAUUAAUAUUGUAACAUAGACCUAAAAAAUCUAUAAAACAACUUUUAACAACGGAUCUCUUGGUUCUCGCAUCGAUGAAGAACGUAGCAAAGUGCGAUAACUAGUGUGAAUUGCAUAUUCAGUGAAUCAUCGAGUCUUUGAACGCAACUUGCGCUCAUUGGUAUUCCAAUGAGCACGCCUGUUUCAGUAUCAAAACAAACCCUCUAUCCAACUUUUGUUGUAUAGGAUUAUUGGGGGCCUCUCGAUCUGUAUAGAUCUUGAAAUCCCUGAAAUUUACUAAGGCCUGAACUUGUUUAAAGCCUGAACUUUUUUUUAAUAUAAAGGAAAGCUCUUGUAAUUGACUUUGAUGGGGCCUCCCAAAUAAAUCUCUUUUAAAUUUGAUCUGAAAUCAGGCGGGAUUACCCGCUGAACUUAA